RNAcentral lists this ribosomal RNA (1829 nucleotides) under Escherichia coli. Its description in RNAcentral is "partial 23S ribosomal RNA". It matches the Rfam family "Bacterial large subunit ribosomal RNA", at positions 612 to 2426 of the family's 2925-position model. The record is from RNAcentral. Lineage: Bacteria; Pseudomonadati; Pseudomonadota; Gammaproteobacteria; Enterobacterales; Enterobacteriaceae.
AUAAUGGGUCAGCGACUUAUAUUCUGUAGCAAGGUUAACCGAAUAGGGGAGCCGAAGGGAAACCGAGUCUUAACUGGGCGUUAAGUUGCAGGGUAUAGACCCGAAACCCGGUGAUCUAGCCAUGGGCAGGUUGAAGGUUGGGUAACACUAACUGGAGGACCGAACCGACUAAUGUUGAAAAAUUAGCGGAUGACUUGUGGCUGGGGGUGAAAGGCCAAUCAAACCGGGAGAUAGCUGGUUCUCCCCGAAAGCUAUUUAGGUAGCGCCUCGUGAAUUCAUCUCCGGGGGUAGAGCACUGUUUCGGCAAGGGGGUCAUCCCGACUUACCAACCCGAUGCAAACUGCGAAUACCGGAGAAUGUUAUCACGGGAGACACACGGCGGGUGCUAACGUCCGUCGUGAAGAGGGAAACAACCCAGACCGCCAGCUAAGGUCCCAAAGUCAUGGUUAAGUGGGAAACGAUGUGGGAAGGCCCAGACAGCCAGGAUGUUGGCUUAGAAGCAGCCAUCAUUUAAAGAAAGCGUAAUAGCUCACUGGUCGAGUCGGCCUGCGCGGAAGAUGUAACGGGGCUAAACCAUGCACCGAAGCUGCGGCAGCGACGCUGAUGCGUUGUUGGGUAGGGGAGCGUUCUGUAAGCCUGUGAAGGUGUGCUGUGAGGCAUGCUGGAGGUAUCAGAAGUGCGAAUGCUGACAUAAGUAACGAUAAAGCGGGUGAAAAGCCCGCUCGCCGGAAGACCAAGGGUUCCUGUCCAACGUUAAUCGGGGCAGGGUGAGUCGACCCCUAAGGCGAGGCCGAAAGGCGUAGUCGAUGGGAAACAGGUUAAUAUUCCUGUACUUGGUGUUACUGCGAAGGGGGGACGGAGAAGGCUAUGUUGGCCGGGCGACGGUUGUCCCGGUUUAAGCGUGUAGGCUGGUUUUCCAGGCAAAUCCGGAAAAUCAAGGCUGAGGCGUGAUGACGAGGCACUACGGUGCUGAAGCAACAAAUGCCCUGCUUCCAGGAAAAGCCUCUAAGCAUCAGGUAACAUCAAAUCGUACCCCAAACCGACACAGGUGGUCAGGUAGAGAAUACCAAGGCGCUUGAGAGAACUCGGGUGAAGGAACUAGGCAAAAUGGUGCCGUAACUUCGGGAGAAGGCACGCUGAUAUGUAGGUGAAGUCCCUCGCGGAUGGAGCUGAAAUCAGUCGAAGAUACCAGCUGGCUGCAACUGUUUAUUAAAAACACAGCACUGUGCAAACACGAAAGUGGACGUAUACGGUGUGACGCCUGCCCGGUGCCGGAAGGUUAAUUGAUGGGGUCAGCGCAAGCGAAGCUCUUGAUCGAAGCCCCGGUAAACGGCGGCCGUAACUAUAACGGUCCUAAGGUAGCGAAAUUCCUUGUCGGGUAAGUUCCGACCUGCACGAAUGGCGUAAUGAUGGCCAGGCUGUCUCCACCCGAGACUCAGUGAAAUUGAACUCGCUGUGAAGAUGCAGUGUACCCGCGGCAAGACGGAAAGACCCCGUGAACCUUUACUAUAGCUUGACACUGAACAUUGAGCCUUGAUGUGUAGGAUAGGUGGGAGGCUUUGAAGUGUGGACGCCAGUCUGCAUGGAGCCGGCCUUGAAAUACCACCCUUUAAUGUUUGAUGUUCUAACGUUGACCCGUUAUCCGGGUUGCGGACAGUGUCUGGUGGGUAGUUUGACUGGGGCGGUCUCCUCCUAAAGAGUAACGGAGGAGCACGAAGGUUGGCUAAUCCUGGUCGGACAUCAGGAGGUUAGUGCAAUGGCAUAAGCCAGCUUGACUGCGAGCGUGACGGCGCGAGCAGGUGCGAAAGCAGGUCAUAGUGAUCCGGUGG